AUUAAAUCUUUAUUUAACUUUUAAAACAAUAAAACUAAUUGUCAUAUAUAUAUUUCAACUAAAAUUAAAAAUAAAUAAUUGGAAAAGUAAAAUACUUCAUUUUUCACUUUUGACCUAAUAUUUAUGUGUUCCUCUUUUAUCUUUCUGAUUUUCUUCGAUAAAACUAAUGUCGAAUUUCUUGUAAAAGAAAAAAUAGAUGCAUGUACUUUCUUAGACUUGGAUUUUCCUUUCUUCCAGAACUGCUUAAUUUGUGUGAAUGGUUAUGGAUGUUUUCUCGGUGGGAUAUUUGUCUUGAUUUGGUUGCGGAGAAGAAGAAAAUGAAUCCACAUAUAAUAAGUUUAGGUAUGCAAUUCAAAUUCUUAUUUAGUUUAGGAAUGUUUUGGCACGUUAAUAUUGUUUGGGUAUAUAUUUUCUAUGGCUUCAUAGUGCGGGCAUGAAUAAGCUGUUUUCCCUAUAAUUCACAAAGCGGGUAAAUUGAUUUCUUUUUUUUUUCAUGCAUAGAGAUUUGUUUAUGUAUGAACAAAAUUUAUAAAAAAAAAUUUUGAUAUUUGGUAACUGUAUUUAUAAAUAAACAAAAUUUGUAAAAAAAAUUCUGAAUAUUCGGUAACCGUGUUUUCUAGACUUUUGGAGAUUUGAUCAUAACUAUUCGUAGUUCACAGUUUUUACAAUGUACAUAUAAAAACAAGCCAGUAGAUUUGAAAAUAUAUUAUACUAAAGAAAUCAAUUUUAGAAUUGUUUUUAGAUUAUAUCAGAAUAAUAAGUUAACAGUAAAAGAUGUAUUCAACCGAAAUUCAGUGAAUGUUGAUAACAAUAGAUAUUCCCUCAAAUGUUAAAUAUAGCUUGAAAGUUAGAUUAUUGAUUAUAUAACACAUAGAUUCCCUAACAAACCACAGAAUACAAUUUAUUUUAUUUCAUUUUGUGUAGAAAAUUAAAUAUUCUUUCAGUAGAACAAUAUUUGAAAUAUUUUUAACAAGUUUUAUAACAAAAAAUACUACUAAAUUGAUAUGAGUAUUUAUUGAAUUAUUUCUAUUGUCUUGAUUUUUUUUUUGUUAUAAAACUGUUUAUUUUUAUAUUUAAUAAAUAAAAAUAGCAAUUAAUAAAAUGAGACAAAAAUAUUUUGUCACAUUAAAACAAUAGUAGUGAAUUUUUGUUCUAUUUUUUUAUUUUCUCUUCUUUUAUUGGAAAAUGAGAUUUUAGCAUUAUAAUAACCUUUUUACUAUUAACGUAUCGACUACGUUUAUUCUAGCUUCCAAAUAGGACUAAAUGGCCUUUAAAAAGGAUAAAAUGUCAAACAAUAAUGAUAAUAUAACACUUUCCUAAAAUGACAUUCAUUGUACAUCCAGAUAUUAUUCACACACAAAAUCAGUCUUUAAUUUUGUACUAAUAUAUCUGAUUUCUAAGGACUAUCAAUCAAUGAUUAUCUAAAUUUGUUUCAAAAUUAAAUUAAAAUUGGAAAAAGAAAAAAUAAGAGCGGUAAAAUAGAAAUUCGGUACAGAAUCCAUUUUAAAAUUUAAGCAUCAAAUUUUACUAUAUUCCUGAAAGUGCUGCACAAGGUGAUUUUCUAUCUCUCUCGGGUGCUCUACAAAUUUUUUCAACACAGGCCCCCCUCCACAAUGCUCUCAAAUGGGUAUUAUUCUUGAGCACAUCAAAAUUGAUUGGUCUUUUUUCUCUUUUCUAUGUAGUUUAUGUUUGAACUCUUCUAUAUCUUUGCCGUUAACUUUGUUAUCUUCGAUAGCUUUGUUAUCUUUCGACAUGGUAUGGUUGAACCGGCUUCUUCGUUAGGUUUAGGCUUUGAGUCCAAGUCUGCUGUCUUCCAUGAAUGUACUACUGAAGAGAAAAGUUGUAUAUGUCACUACAUUAUGUUGUGUACCAUCAAGCGAUGAUGAUGAUGGGAGUUUGCUUGGGUAAGUGCUAGGAUGUGAAAAUUAUCGGGUGUCCCUGCGGAUUUAUAAGAAUGACAUAUUUAUCAAUAUAAUUUGCUAUUGAAUAAGAUUUAUUAAAAUGAAACAUCUCUUAACUCCGGUCUCUCUUUUAUUUAAUUUGUACUUUAACUUUGUAUACAUUGCCAAACAAAUAAAUAAAUUGUAUACACUGUACCAAAA
Brassica napus (rape) is the source of this 2102-nucleotide long non-coding RNA. RefSeq lists it as uncharacterized. The record is from RefSeq and is a predicted model, not a curated record. The transcript has 2 exons. NCBI's taxonomy places the organism in Eukaryota, Viridiplantae, Streptophyta, Magnoliopsida, Brassicales, Brassicaceae.